UCUGCUCAGACACUGAGGUCCAGCUCCGAGGGCCUUCUGGCGGUUCCCUCCCUGCGAGAAGCCAAGUUACAGGGAACCAGGCAGAGGGCCUUCUCGGUGGUGGCACCCGCCCUGUGGAACGCCCUCCCAUCAGAUGUCAAAGAGAACAACUACCAGACUUUUAGAAGACAUCUGAAGGCAGCCCUGUUUAGGGAAGCUUUU
Molecule: long non-coding RNA, 201 nt
Filed under: Podarcis lilfordi (Lilford's wall lizard)
Lineage: Eukaryota; Metazoa; Chordata; Lepidosauria; Squamata; Lacertidae
Source: RNAcentral